Long non-coding RNA from Eriocheir sinensis (Chinese mitten crab), 656 nucleotides. RefSeq lists it as uncharacterized. The record is from RefSeq and is a predicted model, not a curated record. The transcript has 3 exons. Lineage: Eukaryota; Metazoa; Arthropoda; Malacostraca; Decapoda; Varunidae.
ACCACGACUACCACCACCUCAACCACUACAGAAACGACAUCAACAACCACAGCCACAGAUCCCUUUCCGUCCCCUGCGUCUUCUGCGUCUUCGUCUCCGUCGGUGGUGCUGCUGAUAGUGGUGCCGGUGGUGGCGGUGGUGAUAUUCCUGGUGGUGGUGGUGGUAGUGGUGGUCUGCCGCAGGCGACGAAGACGCAGAUCAGCGGCAUCACCUUCUCGCACCAACCUGGACGACAGGAUGAGGGAACAGCAGCAGCGAGCCUUCGAGCCGGUCAGCGCUGUGGAUGGUGACGCCCAACACCCGGCCUGCAAGCAACGUCACCGGCGAGUGGCCUAAGAUGACCCACAUGCUGUCCUGAAGACCACCUAUCAACUCGGACCCUAAAUUAACUCUCUAAAGAAGAUCAAGAAAGAGUUCCAGGGGACAGCAUGAGCCAAGCAAGAUGGCGCCACUAAAAAACCAACCGCCAGGCCCCACCAAGAAAGCCCACCAGCGCCAUAAAACAGGAAACAGCCACACAUCACUUAUACACUCAUCAAGGAUAUUUUUGUGGCGGACAAGAGCGUGACUUAUAAUGCCCAGUUAAGUGUUGGUGAAGGACAGUUGCCACUUCCCUCGCAGGACUAUUUUUCACUGCUACGUUAGUUAUCAAGCGA